UUCGCCCUUAGAGUUUGAUCCUGGCUCAGGACGAACGCUGGCGGCGCGCCUAACACAUGCAAGUCGAACGAGAGAGAGGGAGCUUGCUUCCUCAAUCGAGUGGCGAACGGGUGAGUAACGCGUGAGGAACCUGCCUCAAAGAGGGGGACAACAGUUGGAAACGACUGCUAAUACCGCAUAAGCCCACAGCUCGGCAUCGAGCAGAGGGAAAAGGAGCAAUCCGCUUUGAGAUGGCCUCGCGUCCGAUUAGCUAGUUGGUGAGGUAAUGGCCCACCAAGGCGACGAUCGGUAGCCGGACUGAGAGGUUGAACGGCCACAUUGGGACUGAGACACGGCCCAGACUCCUACGGGAGGCAGCAGUGGGGAAUAUUGCACAAUGGGGGAAACCCUGAUGCAGCGACGCCGCGUGGAGGAAGAAGGUCUUCGGAUUGUAAACUCCUGUUGUUGAGGAAGAUAAUGACGGUACUCAACAAGGAAGUGACGGCUAACUACGUGCCAGCAGCCGCGGUAAAACGUAGGUCACAAGCGUUGUCCGGAAUUACUGGGUGUAAAGGGAGCGCAGGCGGGAAGACAAGUUGGAAGUGAAAUCUAUGGGCUCAACCCAUAAACUGCUUUCAAAACUGUUUUUCUUGAGUAGUGCAGAGGUAGGCGGAAUUCCCGGUGUAGCGGUGGAAUGCGUAGAUAUCGGGAGGAACACCAGUGGCGAAGGCGGCCUACUGGGCACCAACUGACGCUGAGGCUCGAAAGUGUGGGUAGCAAACAGGAUUAGAUACCCUGGUAGUCCACACCGUAAACGAUGAUUACUAGGUGUUGGAGGAUUGACCCCUCAGUGCCGCAGUUAACACAAUAAGUAAUCCACCUGGGGAGUACGACCGCAAGGUUGAAACUCAAAGGAAUUGACGGGGGCCCGCACAAGCAGUGGAGUAUGUGGUUUAAUUCGACGCAACGCGAAGAACCUUACCAAGUCUUGACAUCCUGCGACGAUGCUGGAAACAGUAUUUUCCUUCGGGACGCAGAGACAGGUGGUGCAUGGUUGUCGUCAGCUCGUGUCGUGAGAUGUUGGGUUAAGUCCCGCAACGAGCGCAACCCUUACUGUCAGUUACUACGCAAGAGGACUCUGGCAGGACUGCCGUUGACAAAACGGAGGAAGGUGGGGAUGACGUCAAAUCAUCAUGCCCUUUAUGACUUGGGCUACACACGUACUACAAUGGCGUUAAACAAAGAGAAGCAAGACCGCGAGGUGGAGCAAAACUCAGAAACAACGUCCCAGUUCGGACUGCAGGCUGCAACUCGCCUGCACGAAGUCGGAAUUGCUAGUAAUCGUGGAUCAGCAUGCCACGGUGAAUACGUUCCCGGGUCUUGCACACACCGCCCGUCA
This 1378-nucleotide ribosomal RNA is filed under the name uncultured bacterium. RNAcentral describes it as "16S ribosomal RNA". It matches the Rfam family "Bacterial small subunit ribosomal RNA". The record is from RNAcentral.